UGCACGAUUUUUUCCUUCAGUGGGGGCAAUUAGCACUUGUUCCAACUGAUGGCACAUGCACUUUCUGAGCAGCACUUCAAAACUUACAAAGAAGUGGAAAAUUG
Molecule: long non-coding RNA, 104 nt
Organism: Myotis brandtii (Brandt's bat)
Lineage: Eukaryota; Metazoa; Chordata; Mammalia; Chiroptera; Vespertilionidae
Exons: 3
Source: RefSeq, a predicted model, not a curated record